GUGGGGAAUUUUGGACAAUGGGGGCAACCCUGAUCCAGCCAUUCCGCGUGAGUGAAGAAGGCCUUCGGGUUGUAAAGCUCUUCCGGCAGGAACGAAACGGUGAGCUCUAACAUAGCUCGCUAAUGACGGUACCUGAAGAAGAAGCACCGGCUAACUACGUGCCAGCAGCCGCGGUAAUACGUAGGGUGCGAGCGUUAAUCGGAAUUACUGGGCGUAAAGCGUGCGCAGGCGGUUGUGUAAGACAGGUGUGAAAUCCCCGGGCUCAACCUGGGAAUUGCGCUGGUGACUGCAGUGCUGGAGUGCGGCAGGGGGGGAUGGAAUUCCGCGUGUAGCAGUGAAAUGCGUAGAUAUGCGGAGGAACACCGAUGGCGAAGGCAAUCCCCUGGGCCUGCACUGACGCUCAUGCACGAAAGCGUGGGGAGCAAACAGGAUUAGAUACCCGGGUAGUCC
This 450-nucleotide ribosomal RNA is filed under the name uncultured bacterium. Its description in RNAcentral is "bacterial SSU rRNA". It matches the Rfam family "Bacterial small subunit ribosomal RNA", at positions 354 to 796 of the family's 1533-position model. The record is from RNAcentral.